GUCCAGCAAUGAGUAUGGUAGCAUGGACAUGGCCCAUUGAGGGUGAAAGGCCCGUAAGAGUGGUGUUCAGGUACGACAGUGCCUUUCUGGAUUGACCUUAGAGUCGGGUUGUUUGUGAAUGCAGCCCAAAGUGGGUGGUAAACUCCAUCCAAGGCUAAAUACAAGCACGAGUCCGAUAGCGAACAAGUACCGUGAGGGAAAGUUGAAAAGUACUUUGAAGAGAGAGUAAACAGUGCGUGAAGCCGCUCAGAGGUAAACGGGUGGAGUUGAACUGCAUGCUUCGUGAAUUCAGCUGGUGAGAUUGUUGUGGGGCUUGGUCAAUUGGGGUAGACACUGAGGUAUGCUUAGCUGCAUGUCCCGGCCUGCCGGUUGGGAUGCGCGAUACGCUCAUCAUGCGUUGCGCGCCUUUGUUGUUUAUCUGCCCUCUCGCCAGUGCAUUUUCGCGUUGUGAUCACCAAGAUCGGCGUUGCUGUCCGGCUGCUUCAGUUAAACCGGUCUUACGCGUCAUUUUGGCGCUGUUUGAUCGGGACGGCAGGUAUCCUGUUGGCUUGUUUAUCUCGCCUCCAGGUGUAAUCAGCUGACUGAAGUGGUACUGUGCGGUGCGUCGGAGCUGGCGGCCAGUUGUGCAUGCUCUCGUGUCAUGCCUUCCGAGGGAUUCUGUUUCGAUCGCUAUGUUGCCUGUCUCGGCAGG
RNAcentral lists this ribosomal RNA (691 nucleotides) under Phyllodistomum sp. C_1. RNAcentral's name for it is "partial large subunit ribosomal RNA". It matches the Rfam family "Eukaryotic large subunit ribosomal RNA", at positions 171 to 632 of the family's 3401-position model. The record is from RNAcentral. RNAcentral also lists the same sequence under 1 other name. Lineage: Eukaryota; Metazoa; Platyhelminthes; Trematoda; Plagiorchiida; Gorgoderidae.